This 1339-nucleotide ribosomal RNA is filed under the name Salmonella enterica subsp. enterica. RNAcentral's name for it is "partial 23S ribosomal RNA". It matches the Rfam family "Bacterial large subunit ribosomal RNA", at positions 1622 to 2925 of the family's 2925-position model. Lineage: Bacteria; Pseudomonadati; Pseudomonadota; Gammaproteobacteria; Enterobacterales; Enterobacteriaceae. The record is from RNAcentral.
UAAGCAUCAGGUAACAUCAAAUCGUACCCCAAACCGACACAGGUGGUCAGGUAGAGAAUACCAAGGCGCUUGAGAGAACUCGGGUGAAGGAACUAGGCAAAAUGGUGCCGUAACUUCGGGAGAAGGCACGCUGACACGUAGGUGAAGUGAUUUACUCAUGGAGCUGAAGUCAGUCGAAGAUACCAGCUGGCUGCAACUGUUUAUUAAAAACACAGCACUGUGCAAACACGAAAGUGGACGUAUACGGUGUGACGCCUGCCCGGUGCCGGAAGGUUAAUUGAUGGGGUCAGCGCAAGCGAAGCUCCUGAUCGAAGCCCCGGUAAACGGCGGCCGUAACUAUAACGGUCCUAAGGUAGCGAAAUUCCUUGUCGGGUAAGUUCCGACCUGCACGAAUGGCGUAAUGAUGGCCAGGCUGUCUCCACCCGAGACUCAGUGAAAUUGAACUCGCUGUGAAGAUGCAGUGUACCCGCGGCAAGACGGAAAGACCCCGUGAACCUUUACUAUAGCUUGACACUGAACAUUGAGCCUUGAUGUGUAGGAUAGGUGGGAGGCUUUGAAGUGUGGACGCCAGUCUGCAUGGAGCCGGCCUUGAAAUACCACCCUUUAAUGUUUGAUGUUCUAACGUGGACCCGUGAUCCGGGUUGCGGACAGUGUCUGGUGGGUAGUUUGACUGGGGCGGUCUCCUCCUAAAGAGUAACGGAGGAGCACGAAGGUUGGCUAAUCCUGGUCGGACAUCAGGAGGUUAGUGCAAUGGCAUAAGCCAGCUUGACUGCGAGCGUGACGGCGCGAGCAGGUGCGAAAGCAGGUCAUAGUGAUCCGGUGGUUCUGAAUGGAAGGGCCAUCGCUCAACGGAUAAAAGGUACUCCGGGGAUAACAGGCUGAUACCGCCCAAGAGUUCAUAUCGACGGCGGUGUUUGGCACCUCGAUGUCGGCUCAUCACAUCCUGGGGCUGAAGUAGGUCCCAAGGGUAUGGCUGUUCGCCAUUUAAAGUGGUACGCGAGCUGGGUUUAGAACGUCGUGAGACAGUUCGGUCCCUAUCUGCCGUGGGCGCUGGAGAACUGAGGGGGGCUGCUCCUAGUACGAGAGGACCGGAGUGGACGCAUCACUGGUGUUCGGGUUGUCAUGCCAAUGGCACUGCCCGGUAGCUAAAUGCGGAAGAGAUAAGUGCUGAAAGCAUCUAAGCACGAAACUUGCCCCGAGAUGAGUUCUCCCUGAGACUUAGAGUCUCCUGAAGGAACGUUGAAGACGACGACGUUGAUAGGCCGGGUGUGUAAGCGCAGCGAUGCGUUGAGCUAACCGGUACUAAUGAACCGUGAGGCUUAACCUUACAACGCCGAAG